AGUGAACGCUGGCGGUAGACCUAACACAUGCAAGUCGAACGGCAGCACAGUAAGAGCUUGCUCUUACGGGUGGCGAGUGGCGGACGGGUGAGGAAUACAUCGGAAUCUACUUUUUCGUGGGGGAUAACGUAGGGAAACUUACGCUAAUACCGCAUACAACCUACGGGUGAAAGCAGGGGAUCUUCGGACCUUGCGCGAUUGAAUGAGCCGAUGUCGGAUUAGCUAGUUGGCGGGGUAAAGGCCCACCAAGGCGACGAUCCGUAGCUGGUCUGAGAGGAUGAUCAGCCACACUGGAACUGAGACACGGUCCAGACUCCUACGGGAGGCAGCAGUGGGGAAUAUUGGACAAUGGGCGCAAGCCUGAUCCAGCCAUACCGCGUGGGUGAAGAAGGCCUUCGGGUCGUAAAGCCCUUUUGUUGGGAAAGAAAAGCAGCAGGUUAAUACCCCGCUGUUCUGACGGUACCCAAAGAAUAAGCACCGGCUAACUUCGUG
RNAcentral lists this ribosomal RNA (492 nucleotides) under uncultured bacterium. Its description in RNAcentral is "partial 16S ribosomal RNA". It matches the Rfam family "Bacterial small subunit ribosomal RNA", at positions 29 to 507 of the family's 1533-position model. The record is from RNAcentral.